RNAcentral lists this long non-coding RNA (451 nucleotides) under Elaeis guineensis (African oil palm). RNAcentral describes it as "long non-coding RNA (EGUI_LNC000974)". The record is from RNAcentral. Lineage: Eukaryota; Viridiplantae; Streptophyta; Magnoliopsida; Arecales; Arecaceae.
GAGUUUUUGAGAAGUAGAAUUUUUGAUAGUAGAACUUUUACAAAAAGCUAUUUGCUAUUUGAUAAUCAUAUUAAUAAAGUAUUUUGGAGAAAAUAAAAUAAUUUUUCGACAUUAAUCAGAAAAUAUUUUUAAAAAAAAUUUAAAAUAUAAUCUUUUUCAAAUAGAUCUUUUUAGCUUUUUGAUAAAGUCAAAACAGUUUUUCGAUAUUUUUAUCAAACACCACUGUAUCACUCCAAAAUAUUUUCUGAGAGUCAGAAAGUACUUUCUAAUAUUCUAAAAGUUUAGUCAAAUAAAAUUUACUCUACUAUAUUCUCAAUAUAACUUUUGAUCCUCAUUUCACAAAAAAAAAAAAAAAAUGGUCGAUGUCAUAUAAGAACCUUGUCAUUAGUCAAUCAGGAGGGCAAUUUGGAUCCGUUGCCCAGCAGAAGCAGGACAUGAAAUAAUGGAUGGC